RNAcentral lists this ribosomal RNA (439 nucleotides) under uncultured bacterium. Its description in RNAcentral is "bacterial SSU rRNA". It matches the Rfam family "Bacterial small subunit ribosomal RNA", at positions 339 to 794 of the family's 1533-position model. The record is from RNAcentral.
GUACGGGAGGCAGCAGUGGGGAAUAUUGCGCAAUGGGGGAAACCCUGACGCAGCAACGCCGCGUGAAGGAUGAAGGUUUUCGGAUCGUAAACUUCUUUGAUGAGGGACGAAUAAUGACGGUACCUCAAAAACAAGCCACGGCUAACUACGUGCCAGCAGCCGCGGUAAUACGUAGGUGGCGAGCGUUGUCCGGAAUUACUGGGUGUAAAGGGCGUGUAGGCGGGGACUUAAGUCAGAUGUGAAAUACCCAGGCUCAACUUGGGAACUGCAUCUGAAACUAAGUUUCUUGAGUGUCGGAGAGGAAAGUGGAAUUCCCAGUGUAGCGGUGAAAUGCGUAGAUAUUGGGAGGAACACCAGUGGCGAAGGCGACUUUCUGGACGAUAACUGACGCUGAGGCGCGAAAGCGUGGGGAGCAAACAGGAUUAGAUACCCCGGUAGA